Molecule: ribosomal RNA, 537 nt
Filed under: Bacillus sp. (in: firmicutes)
Lineage: Bacteria; Bacillati; Bacillota; Bacilli; Caryophanales; Bacillaceae
Description: Bacillus sp. (in: Bacteria) partial 16S ribosomal RNA
Source: RNAcentral
UUCCUUAACUGCCCCCGGGGGGUGUUCGCCACCUCGUACACCAAAUUAAGCUUCGUUGCGCUUCUUGGAAUGGUCCAGAACUGUAGGAGACUGUUGGGAUCUCUAUCCCGAAAGGGAAGCCCCUGUCUCACUGUCCACCACGUACCAACAGCAGUCGAGCACAGCACUCUACAACCCAAUUCAGGGCGUUGCUCGCGUUGGGAACUAGAAUCAACGGUCGUAAAUCAACCCGUGAGAUUCCACUGACGGCCACUGUUUGGCCUCCUUCCACCCCUACUGCAGUUUAGUAGUACGGGGAAUACUGGACCCGAUGUGUGCACGAUGUUACCUGUCUUGUUUCCCGACGCUCUGGCGUUCCAAAUCGGUUAGGGUGUUUAGACAAGAGUCAAGCCUAGCGUCAGACGUUGAGCUGACGCACUUCGACCUUAGCGAUCAUUAGCGCCUAGUCGUACGGCGCCACUUAUGCAAGGGCCCGGAACAUGUGUGGCGGGCAGUGUGGUGCUCUCAAACGUUGUGGGCUUCAGCCACUCCAUUGGA